Molecule: ribosomal RNA, 700 nt
Filed under: uncultured bacterium
Lineage: Bacteria
Description: bacterial SSU rRNA
Rfam family: Bacterial small subunit ribosomal RNA
Source: RNAcentral
CGGCGGACGGGUGAGUAACGCGUAGGAAUCUACCCAGUAGUGGGGGACAACUUGGGGAAACCCAAGCUAAUACCGCAUACGCCCUACGGGGGAAAGCGGGGGCUCUUCGGACCUCGCGCUAUUGGAUGAGCCUGCGUCGGAUUAGCUAGUUGGUGGGGUAAAAGCCUACCAAGGCGACGAUCCGUAGCUGGUCUGAGAGGAUGAUCAGCCACACUGGAACUGAGACACGGUCCAGACUCCUACGGGAGGCAGCAGUGGGGAAUAUUGCGCAAUGGGGGCAACCCUGACGCAGCCAUGCCGCGUGUGUGAAGAAGGCCCUAGGGUUGUAAAGCACUUUCAAUUGGGAAGAAAAGCUCGUAGUUAAUAACUGCGAGCCCUGACAUUACCUUUAGAAGAAGCACCGGCUAACUCCGUGCCAGCAGCCGCGGUAAUACGGAGGGUGCGAGCGUUAAUCGGAAUUACUGGGCGUAAAGCGCGCGUAGGCGGUUUGUUAAGUCAGCUGUGAAAGCCCUGGGCUCAACCUGGGAACUGCAGUUGAUACUGGCCGACUAGAGUACGAGAGAGGGAGGUAGAAUUCCACGUGUAGCGGUGAAAUGCGUAGAUAUGUGGAGGAAUACCGGUGGCGAAGGCGGCCUCCUGGCUCGAUACUGACGCUGAGGUGCGAAAGCGUGGGGAGCAACAGGAUUAGAUACCCUGGUAG